AAUCAACGCUGGCGGCGUGCCUAACACAUGCAAGUCGAGCGGGAAAAGGGGGCUUCGGUCCCUGAGUAUAGCGGCGGACGGGUGAGUAACACGUGGGUAAUUUGCCCUUGGGUGUGGAAUAACGUCAGGGAAACCUUGAGCUAAUACCGCAUGACAUCCCCCUUCUCACAGGAGUUGGGGAUCAAAGCCGGGGACCUUCGGGGCCUGGCGCCUGAGGAGAAGCCCGCGCCCGAUUAGCUAGGUUGGGAGGUAAUGGCUCACCAAGGCUUCGAUCGGUA
RNAcentral lists this ribosomal RNA (278 nucleotides) under uncultured bacterium. Its description in RNAcentral is "partial 16S ribosomal RNA". It matches the Rfam family "Bacterial small subunit ribosomal RNA", at positions 32 to 285 of the family's 1533-position model. The record is from RNAcentral.